UGGCGGCAGGCCUAACACAUGCAAGUCGAACGGUAACAGGAAGCAGCUUGCUGCUUCGCUGACGAGUGGCGGACGGGUGAGUAAUGUCUGGGAAACUGCCUGAUGGAGGGGGAUAACUACUGGAAACGGUAGCUAAUACCGCAUAACGUCGCAAGACCAAAGAGGGGGACCUUCGGGCCUCUUGCCAUCAGAUGUGCCCAGAUGGGAUUAGCUAGUAGGUGGGGUAACGGCUCACCUAGGCGACGAUCCCUAGCUGGUCUGAGAGGAUGACCAGCCACACUGGAACUGAGACACGGUCCAGACUCCUACGGGAGGCAGCAGUGGGGAAUAUUGCACAAUGGGCGCAAGCCUGAUGCAGCCAUGCCGCGUGUAUGAAGAAGGCCUUCGGGUUGUAAAGUACUUUCAGCGGGGAGGAAGGCGAUGCGGUUAAUAACCGCGUCGAUUGACGUUACCCGCAGAAGAAGCACCGGCUAACUCCGUGCCAGCAGCCGCGG
Molecule: ribosomal RNA, 494 nt
Filed under: Enterobacter sp. SM20
Lineage: Bacteria; Pseudomonadati; Pseudomonadota; Gammaproteobacteria; Enterobacterales; Enterobacteriaceae
Description: bacterial SSU rRNA
Rfam family: Bacterial small subunit ribosomal RNA
Source: RNAcentral